Molecule: ribosomal RNA, 1899 nt
Filed under: Triticum aestivum (bread wheat)
Lineage: Eukaryota; Viridiplantae; Streptophyta; Magnoliopsida; Poales; Poaceae
Description: partial small subunit ribosomal RNA
Source: RNAcentral
AUGGCGGCAGCCCAACAAGGGAACGUGGAGCAGGCCGUGAACGGAGCGCAAGGACCGGGCAAGGUCGGCGGCGAGGCUCCCGAGGCGGCGUCGGCGCCCAAGGCCGCGGCCGCCGCCACCGCUGCCGCGCCGCAUCACCGGCGAUCCAAGAGUGCUUCUUCGGGCAGGAACCUGGAGACUUGCAAGCAUGCCACCAUGGAGCAACGCUUCAACCAAGCACAGAACCCGCCGGACCCGAGGAAGUCUUCUUGCUCAACGGAUGGUUCUUCGGUUCUCCGGGCACCGCCGAGGGAUCAACGGACGAGCGCGGCCACGGCGUCGCCGAACCACCGCGUCUCGCUGGAGAAUGACGUCUCGCAGCUGCAUCUGCAUCUGCAUCAGGAGAGGUCCAUCCGGAUCAUGCUUGACCGGGCGAUCGGCCGGGCUUCCAGCACCCUGUCUCCUGGUCAUCGGCACUUUCCAGCUCAGACAAAGGAACUGAUAGCAGAGAUUGAAUUGCUCGAAGAGGAAAUUGCGAACCGCGAGCAGCACGUCCUCUCACUCUACAGAAGUAUAUUUGAUCAGUGCGUAUCUGGGCCAUCAUCAGGGCAGAGUUCCGGUAUUUCAUCCCCGGCUCAUGCCAAGAGCAUAAGUUCAAGGACGAGACGACGACAAUCGAGCAUAAUAUCAAGUGCAUUUUGCUCAUCUAAGAAGCUGCCUCUCCAACCUUUCCAUAUCAUGACAUCAGUGUCGGAGUCGGGUAGGACGAAGAACAUGCUCAAGACCAAGAUCAAGCAUGAAUCUUUCUCGAGCGAAACGUUGGAUGUCCGUCCUGCCUCCCUUGCAUCAGAUCCAAGGAAGCUGCCUUAUUCAGGGAGUAGUUCUUUGGCACGUACUCUGAAAGAUCAUCUCUACCAAUGUCCAAGCAAGAUAUCUGAAGAAAUGGUUAGAUGCAUGGCCUCCAUAUACUGUCUUUUGCGCACGGAGUCACCAGAAAAGCCUGAAAAGGUUCGCUCGCCGUUCUUGUCAAGAUCAUCAACAAGUGUCAUUCUUCCUCGGAGGGGUAACGGCGAGGAGACUAAUCCAUCAAGUAACAAAAGCAUUGUCGAAGUAUAUUCAAUCACAGUCGAAAAGAAUCAGACGCCAGAUGUCUCCUGUGCAAUUACCCACUACAGGUUGCUUGUGGAGCAGCUUGAAAGGGUUGAUCUGAGUAUGUCAGAAACCAGUAUCAAACUGGCCUUUUGGAUCAACGUGUACAAUUCUCUUGUCAUGCAUGCAUAUCUAGCAUAUGGAAUUCCAAACAGCUCUCUGAAAAGAAUGGCUCUAUUUCACAAGGCUGCCUACAAUGUUGGUGGAUAUGCCGUGACAGCCAACUCCAUUGAACACUCCUUGCUGUGCUGCAGAUCCCCGCGGAUUGGUCGUUGGUUUGAAUCAAUACUGUCGACGGCGAUGCGGAAGAGAUGCGCGGACGAGAAGCAGCUGGUCCAGCUCAAGUUCGGCCUGCCGGACUGCCAGCCUCAGGCCCUGUUCGCGCUGUGCACCGGUGCCUCCUCCGACCCCACGCUCAAGGUGUACACGGCGAAGAACGUGACGGAGGAGCUGGAGCGGGCGAAGCGGGAGUUCCUGCAGGCCGGCGUGGUGGUGCGCAAGUCGAGGAAGGUGUUCCUGCCGCGCCUCGUGGAGCGGUACGCCAAGGAGGCCGGCCUCCCCGCCGGCGACGGCGUCCUCGCGUGGGCGCGCGACAACUUGGACGGCCGGGCCGCGCAGGAGGCCAUCCAGCGGUGCGCCGCCGCAGCAGCAGGAGCCGGCGGCCGGCGCAGGGCGUCGCAGGCCUUCGAGUGGCUCCCGUACAACCCCAGGUUCCGCUACGCCUUCGCCAGGAGCAUGGUCGACAAGCAAGCCGCCGCGGUGCUCGCCUAG